RNAcentral lists this ribosomal RNA (253 nucleotides) under uncultured bacterium. Its description in RNAcentral is "partial 16S ribosomal RNA". It matches the Rfam family "Bacterial small subunit ribosomal RNA", at positions 524 to 776 of the family's 1533-position model. The record is from RNAcentral.
UACGUAGGUGGCAAGCGUUGUCCGGAUUUACUGGGCGUAAAGAGCGCGCAGGCGGUCGUUCAAGUCGCGUGUGAAAGCCCCCGGCUCAACUGGGGAGGGUCACGCGAUACUGAUCGACUCGAAGGCAGGAGAGGGUAGUGGAAUUCCCGGUGUAGUGGUGAAAUGCGUAGAUAUCGGGAGGAAUACCAGAGGCGAAGGCGGCACCCUGGGUCUGACCUGACACUGAUCCGCGACAGCAUGGGGAGCGAACGGG